RNAcentral lists this ribosomal RNA (253 nucleotides) under uncultured bacterium. RNAcentral's name for it is "partial 16S ribosomal RNA". It matches the Rfam family "Bacterial small subunit ribosomal RNA", at positions 524 to 776 of the family's 1533-position model. The record is from RNAcentral.
UACAGAGGGGGCAAGCGUUGUUCGGAAUUACUGGGCGUAAAGGGCGCGUAGGCGGCCUGUUAAGUCGGACGUGAAAUCCCUCGGCUCAACCGGGGAACUGCGUCUGAUACUGGCGGGCUUGAAUUCGGGAGAGGGAUGUGGAAUUCCAGGUGUAGCGGUGAAAUGCGUUGAUAUCAUCAGGAACACCGGAGGCGAAGGCGGCUCACUGGGUCUCUACUGACGCUGAGGAACGAAAGCUAGGGGAGCAAACGGG